This 465-nucleotide ribosomal RNA is filed under the name uncultured bacterium. Its description in RNAcentral is "partial 16S ribosomal RNA". It matches the Rfam family "Bacterial small subunit ribosomal RNA", at positions 28 to 507 of the family's 1533-position model. The record is from RNAcentral.
GACGAACGCUGGCGGCGUGCUUAACACAUGCAAGUCGAACGGAAAGGCCCUGCUUGCAGGGUACUCGAGUGGCGAACGGGUGAGUAACACGUGGGUGAUCUGCCCUGCACUUCGGGAUAAGCCUGGGAAACUGGGUCUAAUACCGGAUAGGAGCCAUUUUUAGUGUGAUGGUUGGAAAGUUUUUUCGGUGUAGGAUGAGCUCGCGGCCUAUCAGCUUGUUGGUGGGGUAAUGGCCUACCAAGGCGGCGACGGGUAGCCGGCCUGAGAGGGUGGACGGCCACAUUGGGACUGAGAUACGGCCCAGACUCCUACGGGAGGCAGCAGUGGGGAAGAUUGCACAAUGGGCGCAAGCCUGAUGCAGCGACGCCGCGUGGGGGAUGACGGCCUUCGGGUUGGAAACUCCUUUCGCUAGGGACGAAGCUUUUUGUGACGGUACCUAGAGAAGAAGCACCGGCUAACUACGUG